UACGGAGGGUGCGAGCGUUAUCCGGAUUCACUGGGUUUAAAGGGUGCGUAGGUGGGAAUGUAAGUCAGUGGUGAAAUCUCUGAGCUUAACUCAGAAACUGCCAUUGAUACUAUGUUUCUUGAAUUUUCUGGAGGUCAGCGGAAUAUGUCAUGUAGCGGUGAAAUGCUUAGAUAUGACAUAGAACACCAAUUGCGAAGGCAGCUGGCUACACGAAUAUUGACACUGAUGCACGAAAGCGUGGGGAUCAAACAGG
RNAcentral lists this ribosomal RNA (253 nucleotides) under uncultured bacterium. Its description in RNAcentral is "partial 16S ribosomal RNA". It matches the Rfam family "Bacterial small subunit ribosomal RNA", at positions 524 to 776 of the family's 1533-position model. The record is from RNAcentral.